GAUGAACGCUGGCGGCGUGCUUAACACAUGCAAGUCGAACGAUGAAGCCCAGCUUGCUGGGUGGAUUCGUGUCGCACGGGUGAGUGACACGCGAGUAAACUGUCCUUAUGUCUUUGAUAUGCCUGCAGAACUGUGUCUAAUAUCGGAUAUAGGCGUCCACCCUGCGGUGGGUGUUGGGGAGAUUUGGCGGUUUUGGAUGGACUCGCGGCCUAUCAGCUUGUUGGUGGGGGAAUGGCUCACCAAGGCGACGACGGGUAGCCGGCCUGAGAGGGUGACCGGCCACACUGGGACUGAGACACGGCCCAGACUCCUACGGGAGGCAGCAGUGGGGAAUAUUGCACAAUGGGCGCAAGCCUGAUGCAGCGACGCCGCGUGAGGGAUGACGGCCUUCGGGUUGUAAACCGCUUUCAGUAGGGAAGAAGCGAAAGUGACGGUACCUGCAGAAGAAGCACCGGCUAACUACGUG
This 466-nucleotide ribosomal RNA is filed under the name uncultured bacterium. RNAcentral describes it as "partial 16S ribosomal RNA". It matches the Rfam family "Bacterial small subunit ribosomal RNA", at positions 28 to 507 of the family's 1533-position model. The record is from RNAcentral.